UACGUAGGGUGCGAGCGUUGUCCGGAUUUAUUGGGCGUAAAGGGCUCGUAGGCGGCGUGUCGCGUCGGGAGUGAAAGCCCGUUGCUUAACGGCGGGUUGGCUUUCGGUACGGGCAUGCUGGAGUGCGGCAGGGGAGACUGGAAUUCCUGGUGUAGCGGUGGAAUGCGCAGAUAUCAGGAGGAACACCCGUGGCGAAGGCGGCUCUCUGGGACAGUACUGACACUGAGACGCGAAAGCGUGGGGAGCGAACAGG
Molecule: ribosomal RNA, 253 nt
Filed under: uncultured bacterium
Lineage: Bacteria
Description: partial 16S ribosomal RNA
Rfam family: Bacterial small subunit ribosomal RNA
Source: RNAcentral